GACGUAGGGGGCGAGCGUUGUCCGGAUUUAUUGGGCGUAAAGCGCGCGUAGGCGGCCCGUUAAGUCGGAUGUGAAAACCCGGGGCUCAACCCCGGGCCUGCAUUCGAUACUGGCGGGCUCGAGGCAGGCAGGGGAGAGCGGAAUUCCUGGUGUAGCGGUGAAAUGCGCAGAUAUCAGGAGGAACACCGGUGGCGAAGGCGGCUCUCUGGGCCUGUCCUGACGCUCAGGCGCGAAAGCUAGGGGAGCAAACAGG
RNAcentral lists this ribosomal RNA (253 nucleotides) under uncultured bacterium. RNAcentral describes it as "partial 16S ribosomal RNA". It matches the Rfam family "Bacterial small subunit ribosomal RNA", at positions 524 to 776 of the family's 1533-position model. The record is from RNAcentral.